RNAcentral lists this ribosomal RNA (419 nucleotides) under uncultured Lachnospiraceae bacterium. RNAcentral describes it as "bacterial SSU rRNA". It matches the Rfam family "Bacterial small subunit ribosomal RNA", at positions 404 to 826 of the family's 1533-position model. Lineage: Bacteria; Bacillati; Bacillota; Clostridia; Lachnospirales; Lachnospiraceae. The record is from RNAcentral.
GGCGAAGAAGUAUUUCGGUAUGUAAAGCUCUAUCAGCAGGGAAGAAAGGCUCGUAAGAGAGAUGACGGUACCUGACUAAGAAGCCCCGGCUAACUACGUGCCAGCAGCCGCGGUAAUACGUAGGGGGCAAGCGUUAUCCGGAUUUACUGGGUGUAAAGGGAGCGCAGACGGUCAAGCAAGUCUGAAGUGAAACCCCACGGCUCAACCGUGGGCUUGCUUUGGAAACUGUUUAACUAGAGUACUGGAGAGGUAAGCGGAAUUCCUAGUGUAGCGGUGAAAUGCGUAGAUAUUAGGAGGAACAUCGGUGGCGAAGGCGGCUUACUGGACAGCAACUGACGUUGAGGCUCGAAGGCGUGGGGAGCAAACAGGAUUAGAUACCCUGGUAGUCCACGCGGUAAACGAUGAAUACUAGGUGUUGG